AGAGCGAACGCUGGCGGCAGGCCUAACACAUGCAAGUCGAGCGGCCGUAGCAAUACGGCAGCGGCAGACGGGAGAGUAACACGUGGGAACGCGCCCUUCGGUUCGGAAUAACUCAGGGAAACUUGAGCUAAUACCGGAUACGGCCGAGAGGCGAAAGAUUUAUCGCCGGAGGAUUGGCCCGCGUUCGAUUAGCUAGUUGGUGAGGUAACGGCUCACCAAGGCGAUGAUCGAUAGCUGGUCUGAGAGGAUGAUCAGCCACAUUGGGACUGAGACACGGCCCAAACUCCUACGGGAGGCAGCAGUGGGGAAUAUUGGACAAUGGGCGCAAGCCUGAUCCAGCCAUGCCGCGUGAGUGAUGACGGCCUUAGGGUUGUAAAGCUCUUUCGCUCGGGACGAUAAUGACGGUACCGAGAUAAGAAGCCCGGCUAACUUCGUGCCAGCAGCCGC
Molecule: ribosomal RNA, 447 nt
Filed under: uncultured bacterium
Lineage: Bacteria
Description: SSU rRNA
Rfam family: Bacterial small subunit ribosomal RNA
Source: RNAcentral